UUACAAUUACGCCACCGAAUGUAACCUGACCACCACCGCUUUAGCUUUUUCCCUCUCUUCUCUCUCUCCGACAGUGUGGAAAUUCUAGAGAGAGAAAAAUUCAGACCAUUUCUGAAGGAUUGAGCUCUUUCCUCUUUGUUUUUUCAACGAUGGCGGGUUUAAGGGAAUCUAGGGUUUUGUGACGGAGCGAUUACUCCAAUAAUAAUAAUAAUUCCGAUGGAAAUGCCCGGUAGGAGAUCGAACUACACGCUUCUCAGCCAAGUCCCCGACGAUCACUUCGCUGCGGCGACGGCGACGUCGUUUUACGAGUCGGAGGGGAAGAACAACAAUAAUAAGGCGAAGGGGGAUAGCAGAGGGUUUGAUUGGGAAACGGGAGGCGGCGAGUACCGGGCGGCGCCGGCGAAUCGGAUCGGAAACGUGUACUCGUCGGUCGGAUUGCAGCGGCAGUCGAGCGGGAGCAGCUUCGGAGAGAGCUCGCUGUCCGGCGAGUACUACGCGCCGACUCUGUCGACCACGGCGGCGAAUGAGAUUGACGGAUUCGGGUACGUCAACGACGACGGGUUUAAAACCGGCGGAGGAGGCGGUGAGUUCAGAGGGAAAGGAGGAGGGAUGGAUGGGGGUGUGGGCCCCCCCGGAGGUUCGUCGUCGGGGAAGAGCUGGGCGCAGCAGACUGAGGAGAGUUAUCAGCUGCAGUUGGCUUUGGCGCUUCGGCUCUCGUCGGAAGCCACUUGCGCCGAUGAUCCUAAUUUCUUGGAUCCAGUGCCGGAUGAAUCUUCGUCGAGGUUGUCCAGCUCUGCCGAUGCAGUUUCGCAUCGAUUUUGGGUGAAUGGCUGUCUGUCAUACUUUGACAAAGUGCCUGAUGGGUUUUACCUUAUUCAUGGGAUAGAUUCGUAUGUAUGGUCUAUGUGCACUGAUGUGCAAGAGAGUGGUCGUAUACCAUCAAUUGAAUCACUAAAAUCUGUUGAUCCUGGUACUGGAUCUUCCAUAGAAGUGGUCUUAAUCGAUCGACGUAGUGAUCCCAGCUUAAAGGAGCUUCAAAAUAGGGUCCUCAGCAUUUCUUAUGCUUGCAUAACCACGACAGAGAUUGUUGAUCAGCUGGCAAAGCUUGUAUGCAGCCGUAUGGGGGGUUCAGCAUCUGUAGGAGAGGCUGAAUUUUUCUCCAUAUGGAGGGAGAGCAGUGAUGAUCUAAAAGAUUGCUUAGGAUCUGUAGUUGUUCCAAUCGGCAGCCUUUCUAUUGGCCUCUGUAGACAUCGUGCUUUAUUAUUCAAGGUUCUAGCUGACACAAUUGACCUACCGUGCCGAAUUGCCAAAGGCUGUAAAUAUUGUACAAGAGAUGAUGCUUCCUCUUGUCUUGUUCGUUUUGGUAUUGACAGGGAAUUGUUAGUUGAUUUGAUUGGGAAUCCAGGUUGCUUAUGUGAGCCUGAUUCCUUGCUCAAUGGUCCAUCAUCCAUCUCAAUUUCUUCACCGCUGCGAUUUCCAAGACUCAGAACAGUUGAACCUACCAUUGAUUUCAGGUCACUGGCCAAACAGUACUUCUCGGACUGUCAGUUGCUUAAUCUUGUAUUCGAUGAAGCUCCGGCAGGAAGUGCUGGUGAUGAGGACAAUAAAGGAUUCUCUAUGUAUCCUAAGCAGAAGUUUACAGAUGGAAACAACCUCUUUCUGGUUUCAGGUCUUGGUGAUGACACUUCUAUGCAUGUUGACGAUCGGAAUCCCCAGUUCCUUAAAUCAUUUAAUCCUUCUCAGAACAUUGUACACCAACAAACAGUAUUAAAAGAUCAAAUCCCCCUAAAGCGUAUACCACCUAUAGGACAUAGAGAUAUUUCAAGGUUGGAUACAAGUAAGGACUCGAGGUUUGGUGAGGGACUUCAAGUGGUUCCUAGUAAACCAAAUAAAGAGCUGACUCUCGAUGUGGAUGAUUUGGACAUUCCAUGGAGUGACCUUGUACUGAAGGAGAGAAUCGGUGCAGGUUCUUUUGGAACUGUUCAUCGUGCUGAUUGGCAUGGCUCUGAUGUUGCUGUGAAGAUUCUUAUGGAGCAAGAAUUUCAUGCUGAACGCUUUAAUGAGUUCUUGAGGGAGGUUGCAAUUAUGAAACGCCUGCGGCAUCCAAAUAUUGUGCUGUUUAUGGGUGCAGUUACAAAGCCCCCAAACUUGUCCAUAGUCACAGAAUAUCUAUCAAGAGGGAGCUUGUAUAGGCUGUUGCAUAAACCUGGCCCAAUACUGGAUGAGAGGCGCCGGUUGUAUAUGGCUCAUGAUGUGGCAAAGGGGAUGAAUUAUCUUCAUAGGCGGAAUCCUCCCAUUGUUCAUCGAGAUUUAAAAUCACCAAACCUUUUGGUUGACAAAAAGUAUACUGUGAAGGUUUGUGAUUUUGGUCUUUCCCGAUUAAAGGCCAACACCUUUCUUUCAUCAAAAUCAGCUGCAGGGACUCCUGAAUGGAUGGCACCAGAAGUCCUGCGUGAUGAACCAUCAAAUGAGAAGUCAGAUGUUUACAGUUUUGGUGUAAUAUUGUGGGAACUUGCAACAUUGCAACAGCCCUGGGGUAAUUUGAAUCCAGCGCAGGUUGUGGCAGCUGUUGGUUUUAAGAACAAAAGGCUUGAGAUUCCACGUGAUUUGAAUCCUCAAGUGGCUUCUAUAAUUGAGGCUUGCUGGGCCAAUGAGCCCUGGAAACGACCUUCAUUUGCUAGUAUCAUGGAAUCUUUGAGGCCAUUGAUUAAAGCUCCCACACCUCAACCUAGUCAUGCAGACAUGCCGAUACUCACCUGAAUGGGUCAACACUUACGAAGAGUCUUAUUCAUGCACAUAAUACAGCAUUCUUUUAGAUUUGAUGUCUGGCAGGAUUACAUGCUGUUCAUAGUCUCGGGUAUGCCUAAACUUCCACUUCAGUUUUCUAACAUGAGUCUUACCCCAGCAUUGCACUGUUGAAGGCUAGGUAUCCUAAGUUUGGAAGAAAAAUCAAGAGUCAUUGUACAUUACUGUUCUUAUCGCCAAUUGAGAAUUCUGAUUCUUUAUGCAAAUCAAGGACUAAAGUGCCCAUGGUGUCUGCAUUGCCAUCCCUACUGAUAUUCCUACAAAAAGAUCAUUCUAUAACAUCAUCUUGGGGAAGUUGUAUAAUUUAUAUUCAUAAGUUUGCAUGUAGAAAAAAAGUGUCACUAGCUAUAGAAUCAGACAGCAGCUUUCCCAGCAUGGUACCCAACUUGUGCUAGUCUUUUUCACUUUGUGUGAAAUGUGAAAGGUAGCCAAAUUUUUUAGCGGUUUCUAUUUUGCCCCCCAAGUGCAAUUGAAGAAAACUAUAGGAAAGCUGAUACAUACCUUUAGCAGUUGAGUAUUCGCUGAAGAGUAGAUGUAAUGUAGGAGCAAGUUAUACAUGAUAAGUGGGGCGAAGUGCCUGGCUAAUUAGCAGCAAAUUCUUUGUAAUUUUUAGUAAAAUCUAUUGAUCACCUUCGGUGAAUUUAGAGCAUUGGUUUCUAGAAUUUUCGUUUUGCUUGCUAGGGAGACCAAACAAGUCUACUAUUAUGUAUUAUCUUAUAAUACGAUAUAACCAGCAGGCCAAGCAAGGGUAUCAACUGUAGAUGGUUGACAACUUUGGCAUUGAAAGUUUUAUUAUAUCAUUAUUUGUUCCUCCUAAGUUGUACUUGAAUAAGAUUUUUUUAAUAAGUCUCUAAGUUUUGCCCCGUUCUCUCUUUUGGUGAGGGAGGGUGGGGGAGGGGGAGAUCUCUCUUGGGAGCUAGACGUAGUCGCUGUCGCUGCCCAUGCCUCCAGAGUUGGAGUUGCCGCCUAUGUGGAGACUAUGACAGCGCGUUCCAGCUGAACCGCACAGUCAUGACGCCGGGUCGUGAAGCCGUGAAAGAUGGGGAGGGAGAUCUCAGAAAUGGAGAUCUAUUCGGGGAGCCCAAUGAAUACGGAGAGCGAGCAAAUUUGUAACUAAAUAGUUUAUGUUAUUACAAAAUUGUCAUUUUACUUUGUUUUUCAAUGAUCACUCUUCUUUUAUUUUA
Molecule: RNA transcript, 3989 nt
Organism: Rosa chinensis
Lineage: Eukaryota; Viridiplantae; Streptophyta; Magnoliopsida; Rosales; Rosaceae
Gene name: serine/threonine-protein kinase CTR1
Exons: 16
Source: RefSeq, a predicted model, not a curated record